GAUGAACGCUGGCGGCGUGCCUAAUACAUGCAAGUCGAGCGAACAGACGAGGAGCUUGCUCCUCUGACGUUAGCGGCGGACGGGUGAGUAACACGUGGAUAACCUACCUAUAAGACUGGUAUAACUUCGGGAAACCGGAGCUAAUACCGGAUAAUAUAUUGAACCGCAUGGUUCAAUAGUGAAAGACGGUUUUGCUGUCACUUAUAGAUGGAUCCCCGCCGCAUUAGCUAGUUGGUAAGGUAACGGCUUACCAAGGCGACGAUGCGUAGCCGACCUGAGAGGGUGGUCGGCCACACUGGAGCUGAGACACGGACCAGGCUCCUACGGGAGGGAGCAGUAGGGAAUCUUCCGCAAUGGGCGAAAGCCUGACGGAGUAACGCCGCGUGAGUGAUGAAGGUCUUGGGAUCGUAAAAAUCUGUUAUUAGGGAAGAACAAAUGUGUAAGUAACUAAGCACGUCUUGACGGUACCUAAUCAGAAAGCAACGGCUAACUACGUG
This 497-nucleotide ribosomal RNA is filed under the name uncultured bacterium. Its description in RNAcentral is "partial 16S ribosomal RNA". It matches the Rfam family "Bacterial small subunit ribosomal RNA", at positions 28 to 507 of the family's 1533-position model. The record is from RNAcentral.